RNAcentral lists this ribosomal RNA (468 nucleotides) under uncultured bacterium. RNAcentral describes it as "partial 16S ribosomal RNA". It matches the Rfam family "Bacterial small subunit ribosomal RNA", at positions 28 to 507 of the family's 1533-position model. The record is from RNAcentral.
GACGAACGCUGGCGGCGUGCUUAACACAUGCAAGUCGAACGGAAAGGCCCUGCUUUUGUGGGGUGCUCGAGUGGCGAACGGGUGAGUAACACGUGAGUAACCUGCCCUUGACUUUGGGAUAACUUCAGGAAACUGGGGCUAAUACCGGAUAGGAGCUCCUGCUGCAUGGUGGGGGUUGGAAAGUUUCGGCGGUUGGGGAUGGACUCGCGGCUUAUCAGCUUGUUGGUGGGGUAGUGGCUUACCAAGGCUUUGACGGGUAGCCGGCCUGUGAGGGUGACCGGCCACAUUGGUACUGAGAUACGGCCCAGACUCCUACGGGAGGCAGCAGUGGGGAAUAUUGCACAAUGGGCGGAAGCCUGAUGCAGCAACGCCGCGUGCGGGAUGACGGCCUUCGGGUGGUAAACCGAUUUCGCCUGUGACGAAGCGUGAGUGACGGUAAUGGGUAAAGAAGCACCGGCUAACUACGUG